Molecule: non-coding RNA, 23 nt
Filed under: Cricetulus griseus (Chinese hamster)
Lineage: Eukaryota; Metazoa; Chordata; Mammalia; Rodentia; Cricetidae
Source: RNAcentral
GAAAGGAAGGACUAUGGAGCGUC